GGCUUGGGAAUCGGGAUUUUUAAACGCUCCCCUAGUGGCGGGCCCCGUGGCUGAGUGGUUAAGUUCUCUCGCUCCGCUUCGGAGCGCCGGUUCAGAUCCUGGGCGCAGACAUGGCACCACUCAUCAGGCCAUCCUGUGGAGUCAUCCCACAUGCCACAACUAGAAGGACCCACAACUAAAAUAUACAAGAUGAGCUUUCCCAGUGCCUUACCUCUAUAGACAGAACCUUCUUCACUAACGCAAAACACAUAAAUUAGGGAGGAGGGGGCCAAGGCUGCACAGGAAGGGGAGUGAGAGCCUCUGAGUGGAGGAAGACCAUUUCGUCCUUUGUCCUGGGAAACAAAGGAGGUUUCCAACAGCAGAGGGAAAUUGCAAUUGAAGAAAGAUCUUACAUCAUACCAAGAGCGGAGGUUCCAGAGACGUGAUUUUCAAUUUAUCAAGAUGGGCAAUGGAUACUUUCAGUGUUCCUUGAGUAACAGAAAUGGCUUUUUUAUUGGAAUGAAACAGCAGCUGGACGUUCAGUAGGGGCAGAAGUCUUUUGGGUGGAAUUGCAGAGAAGUGCCAUGCUCCUGUCCCUUGGAGGAAGGAAAGAAGACAUAAUACUAAGUCAAGUGAAGAUGUUAUACUAAGUCUGGAGUUUUGAUAUCUUGAGCUGGACAUUCUUAUUAUUGCAUUAGUCACUGCAUUAGCGUAAAGUAACCAGAUUUCACCUAUUACCCGAGAAUCAGCAGUGAUGCCUUGCAACAGACAGAGUGUUUGUCCUGAGGCAAAGGAGGGUUAUAUCCACUAAAUGUAAUUAAAGGGGACCUGGGAGACAAAAAUAAAGUUAUAUAAUGUUUGUAAAACAACGUGGUUAUAGAAAU
RNAcentral lists this long non-coding RNA (863 nucleotides) under Equus caballus (horse). Its description in RNAcentral is "lncRNA (ENSECAG00000037122.3)". Lineage: Eukaryota; Metazoa; Chordata; Mammalia; Perissodactyla; Equidae. The record is from RNAcentral.